AGUGAACGCUGGCGGUAGGCCUAACACAUGCAAGUCGAACGGCAGCACAGGAGAGCUUGCUCUCUGGGUGGCGAGUGGCGGACGGGUGAGGAAUACAUCGGAAUCCACCUUUUCGUGAGGGAUAACGUAGGGAAACUUACGCUAAUACCGCAUACGACCUACGGGUGAAAGCAUGGGACCUUCGGACCUUGCGCGAUUGAAUGAGCCGAUGUCGGAGUAGCUAGUUGGCGGGGUAAAGGCCCACAAAGGCGACGGUCCGUAGCUGGUCUGAGAGGAUGAUCAGCCACACUGGAACUGAGACACGGUCCAGACUCCUACGGGAGGCAGCAGUGGGGAAUAUUGGACAAUGGGCGCAAGCCUGAUCCAGCCAUACCGCGUGGGUGAAGAAGGCCUUCGGGUUGUAAAGCCCUUUUGCUGGGAAAGAAAUCCAGCUGGCUAAUACCCGGUUGGGAUGACGGUACCCAAAGAAUAAGCACCGGCUAACUUCGUGCCAGCAGCCGCCGUAA
Molecule: ribosomal RNA, 506 nt
Filed under: uncultured bacterium
Lineage: Bacteria
Description: partial 16S ribosomal RNA
Rfam family: Bacterial small subunit ribosomal RNA
Source: RNAcentral